Molecule: ribosomal RNA, 460 nt
Filed under: uncultured bacterium
Lineage: Bacteria
Description: partial 16S ribosomal RNA
Rfam family: Bacterial small subunit ribosomal RNA
Source: RNAcentral
CCUACGGGAGGCAGCAGUGAGGAAUAUUGGUCAAUGGCCGUAAGGCUGAACCAGCCAAGUAGCGUGAGGGAAGACUGCCCUAUGGGUUGUAAACCUCUUUUAUGCGGGGACAAAGGUGUCCACGUGUGGAUGUUUGCAGGUACCGCAUGAAUUAGGCCCGGCUAAUUCCGGGCCAGCAGCCGCGGUAAUACGGAAGGGACGGGCGUUAUCCGGAUUUAUUGGGUUUAAAGGGAGCGUAGGCCGGUCUUUAAGCGUGCCGUGAAAUUUUGUGGCUCAACCAUGGGGGUGCGGCGGAAACUGGGGACCUUGAGUGGGCGAGAGGCAGGCGGAAUGCGUGGUGUAGCGGUGAAAUGCUUAGAUAUCACGAAGAACCCCGAUUGCGAAGGCAGCAUGCCGCAGCCUUACUGACGCUGAGGCUCGAAAGCGCGGGUAUCGAACAGGAUUAGAUACCCCGGUAGUC